Molecule: microRNA, 23 nt
Filed under: Tribolium castaneum (red flour beetle)
Lineage: Eukaryota; Metazoa; Arthropoda; Insecta; Coleoptera; Tenebrionidae
Description: tca-miR-3851r-5p
Source: miRBase by way of RNAcentral
AGUUGGCAUAGAGUAGUACUAUG